Molecule: long non-coding RNA, 387 nt
Organism: Melospiza melodia melodia
Lineage: Eukaryota; Metazoa; Chordata; Aves; Passeriformes; Passerellidae
Exons: 4
Source: RefSeq, a predicted model, not a curated record
GAAAGGCAGAUGUCUGACUUUUAUUCUCUUCAAAACAAGAAUUAAGAUACAUGUGUUGGAAGAAUAUUACUGAAGUCACCCAAAGUAAAAUGAAUGGAUAUGUUCCCAUUCCUGUGGAAAAUUUUGGAGGUACCUCACAUAAUUUAUAAUUGAUUUUCCACUGAACUGUUGAGGAAUCACUUUUGCUUCUGUUGCUAAAAUGCAGAACCAGCAAAAAACCUGCAGAACAUCUUGGCAAAUUCUUCAGAAAUUACCUCUACCUCAAAAACCUGAAAAAUCUGCAAACGCAAUCUGUCCUUUUGGAGCCAGUGAUUCUCUUUGACCCAAAUUUGUACCCAAGGACACUGCAUGCAGAACAUCCACACCAUGCAAAAUUUUACUGUUUUC